GACGAACGCUGGCGGCGUGCCUAAUACAUGCAAGUUGAGCGAUGAAGAUUGGUGCUUGCACCAAUUUGAAGAGCAGCGAACGGGUGAGUAACGCGUGGGGAAUCUGCCUUUGAGCGGGGGACAACAUUUGGAAACGAAUGCUAAUACCGCAUAACAACUUUAAACAUAAGUUUUAAGUUUGAAAGAUGCAAUUGCAUCACUCAAAGAUGAUCCCGCGUUGUAUUAGCUAGUUGGUGAGGUAAAGGCUCACCAAGGCGAUGAUACAUAGCCGACCUGAGAGGGUGAUCGGCCACAUUGGGACUGAGACACGGCCCAAAUCCCUACGGGAGGCAGCAGUAGGGAAUCUUCGGCAAUGGACGAAAGUCUGACCGAGCAACGCCGCGUGAGUGAAGAAGGUUUUCGGAUCGUAAAACUCUGUUGGUAGAGAAGAACGUUGGUGAGAGUGGAAAGCUCAUCAAGUGACGGUAACUACCCAGAAAGGGACGGCUAACUACGU
RNAcentral lists this ribosomal RNA (496 nucleotides) under uncultured bacterium. RNAcentral's name for it is "partial 16S ribosomal RNA". It matches the Rfam family "Bacterial small subunit ribosomal RNA", at positions 28 to 506 of the family's 1533-position model. The record is from RNAcentral.